RNAcentral lists this long non-coding RNA (788 nucleotides) under Bemisia tabaci. Its description in RNAcentral is "lncRNA ENSSSA2NGG011321". Lineage: Eukaryota; Metazoa; Arthropoda; Insecta; Hemiptera; Aleyrodidae. The record is from RNAcentral.
CUGACGAACAGCAAGAAAUCCUUGUGUUGCGGGAGCGGUGCCGUCGGCGACCCAGCGUCACCGGGUGGUCCGUGCGGAUGAGACGAAUUCGGUGCCGCAAGUCCGUUCGCAAACACAAGCACUCCGCCUUUGGAGACGAAAAUGGUUCGAUCGAGCAAAACACGUACGUGAAUGUGGAAACCCUCGAGGAGGACUUCAGCGAAGAGGAUUACGAUGACUCUUUCGACUCGGACUCCUCUUUCGAAAGCGAUCAGAAACUGCCCGAAAAGUUGCCGGAGCCACCGCACGCGACGCAGAACAUCUACGGCCUGGUGAAGCAGGCCGGGAAGCGAAUGCGGAAGCACUGGUCGCUGAGCUCGCUGGGGCUUAACCGAAUCCGGAAGAUGAGCAUCGGCGCGGUGCCGUUCCCGCAGCCCCCGAAGGACCCGUACCCGCCCACCUCGGGCGCCACCACCAACGGGGCUGCCAACGGCAACGGCCUCAACCGCCGUCGCUGGUCCUCCUUCAAGAGCAAGUUCCGCAACCCCACGCACUCUACCUCAACCUUCUAUCUCAACGAUGAGCCCAGCGAUGCCACCGCCCCGCCCCUCCCCCUCAGCCUGCCCCCAGGAGCGAGGAGCUCCCACUCCCCGCCGAAAGGCCUCCGCCGGACCCUCGUCGUCUCAGCACCGCCAGGCCCAGCUCCCCGCCGCCUCCCCCUCCGCCCGUUAGACCGGCAAGAGGUAAAUCAUCUUUCAACCAGAGUUUCAAUUUUUCACCCAUUUUUACCCAUUUUUUACCCACCCUAG